Felis catus (domestic cat) is the source of this 73-nucleotide transfer RNA. It matches the Rfam family "tRNA". Rfam says of the family: Transfer RNA (tRNA) molecules are approximately 80 nucleotides in length. Their secondary structure includes four short double-helical elements and three loops (D, anti-codon, and T loops). The record is from Rfam. Lineage: Eukaryota; Metazoa; Chordata; Mammalia; Carnivora; Felidae.
GCCUGACUGGCUCAGUUGGUAGAGCAUGUGACUCCUGAUCUUGAGGUUGUGAAUUCAAGCCUCAUGUUGGGUG